CUGCCACAUCGCUGUUCACCAUCUAGCAAGGGUAGAAUCAGCACAAGGGGACACAUUCUAGAGGAAUGGGCAUCAAAAGUGAGCCUCAUACACCUGUGUUCAUAGCUUUAUUCACAGCAGACAAAAGGAGAAAGUAACCCAAGUGUCCAUUGAUGGAUAAACGGAUAAACAAAAUGUAGUACAUACUUGCAAUAGAAUAUUAUUCAGCCAUUAAAAGGAAGGAAAUUCUGAUGCUAUAAUAUGGAUGAAUCUUGAGGACAUUAUGCCAGGUGAAAUGUUAGCUACAAAAAGACAAAUACUGUUUGAUUCCAUUUACAUGAGGUUCUAGAAGAGUCAAAUUCAUAGAGACAGAAAUAGAAUGGUGGUUGCCAGGGGCUGAGGAAAGCGGGGGACAGGGAGACGUUGUUCAAUGGGUACAGAGCGUCAGUUUUGCAAGACGAAAAGAGUUCUGUAGAUGGGUGAUGGCGAUGGUAGCACAGCAAUGUGAAUGUACUGAAUGCCACAGACUUAUGAAGCCCUGGGUGAGAGGACUACCAAUCACAGCCAGCUGCAAGAUUCCAGACUGGGUCAGAAGGAGAAGCCUAUUGAAUGGAGGCCUUAGUGGAAGAACCCAUCUUUAUCAAGAAAUAUACUUUCCUAGUUGCUUUGGGGUGGAGAAGAUGAGAUCCCAAACCUACCUUGUAAGGAGAACAAGAAAUAAAGAGAGAGGUAAACUUUGCUCCAGAAGAAAUGGUCCAGAAUAUUGAAGGUAGGCAAAGACAGGGGAGAAAGAGGACUAGAUCUGGUGGGAAACUGGAUUAAUCCGAAGCCUGUAGAUUAAGGGCACCAGUGAGAAGUUUCCUGUCGUGGAAUGGCCAAGAAGUUUUAAGACAGGGUGUCAAAUCUACCCCUUCGAUGUUUUUGUAUUUAAGACAUGUAAACAUCUUCCAUAUCUUCAAUCUUUAAUAAAGUCUGACACACAUCUUGGUGUACAGAAAAGAAGGAAACAGGCUGAGUACCAUAGCAUGGAUCUGACAAAGAGGAUCGUGGUGGGAGAUGAAAGGGCAUGAGGAACAGAAACCUAGACCUAGAAAUAAGAAGAUAACAAGCACUCCCAACCAGGUAUUUACAGAAAUUUUAGGGAGAACACUGACUUUUGCACAGGACGUGGGAUAGACGUCUUCAGGCAAUUCAUCUAAAACCCCAGAUUUCCAAAGUCCUCUACCUGUGCCUCUGUUGCCUGACUUGGACACCAGACUGUAUGUUCACAUACCUGUGGACUCACAGAUGUUAGCUCUUUGAGGACAGGGUCAUGUUGUAUUCAUCCCUGUGCCUGGCACAAUGCCUGCC
RNAcentral lists this long non-coding RNA (1329 nucleotides) under Equus caballus (horse). RNAcentral describes it as "lncRNA (ENSECAG00000053554.1)". Lineage: Eukaryota; Metazoa; Chordata; Mammalia; Perissodactyla; Equidae. The record is from RNAcentral.